This is a non-coding RNA of Myotis lucifugus (little brown bat), 76 nucleotides long. The record is from Rfam. NCBI's taxonomy places the organism in Eukaryota, Metazoa, Chordata, Mammalia, Chiroptera, Vespertilionidae.
GAGAUUCCCUUAUGGAGCAGGACUUGCUUCAGUGGGGCUUUGAUGUUCACUGAGUCUGUUCCUUUAGUGUGUCACU